GCGAGUCUUUCCUUGACAGAGAUGUCCGGGUAAUCUUGUUAAACUGUGUCGUGCUGGGGAUAGAGCAUUGCAAUUAUUGCUCUUCAACGAGGAAUCCCUAGUAAGCGCAAGUCAUCAGCUUGCGUUGAUUACGUCCCUGCCCUUUGUACACACCGCCCGUCGCUACUACCGAUUGGAUGGCUCAGUGAGAUUUCCGGAUUGGCUUAGAAGAGUGGGAAACUACUUUUCAUAGCCGAGAAGCUACUCAAACUCGGUCAUCUAGAGGAAGUAAAAGUCGUAACAAGGUCUCCGUUGGUGAACCAGCGGAGGGAUCAUUA
RNAcentral lists this ribosomal RNA (317 nucleotides) under Catunica adiposa. RNAcentral's name for it is "SSU rRNA". It matches the Rfam family "Eukaryotic small subunit ribosomal RNA", at positions 1515 to 1831 of the family's 1831-position model. Lineage: Eukaryota; Fungi; Ascomycota; Sordariomycetes; Microascales; Ceratocystidaceae. RNAcentral also lists the same sequence under 2 other names. The record is from RNAcentral.